This 388-nucleotide ribosomal RNA is filed under the name uncultured organism. Its description in RNAcentral is "bacterial SSU rRNA". It matches the Rfam family "Bacterial small subunit ribosomal RNA", at positions 45 to 433 of the family's 1533-position model. The record is from RNAcentral.
UGCUUUACACAUGCAAGUCGAACGGAGUUAAGGAGCUUGCUCUUUAAUUUAGUGGCGAACGGGUGAGUAAUAUAUCGGAACGUACCCGGCAAUGGGGGAUAACGUAGCGAAAGUUACGCUAAUACCGCAUAUGUCCUGAGGGGGAAAGCAGGGGACCAGUAAUGGCCUUGCGUUGUCGGAGCGGCCGAUAUCGGAUUAGCUAGUUGGUGAGGUAAAGGCUCACCAAGGCGACGAUCCGUAGCAGGUCUGAGAGGAUGAUCUGCCACACUGGGACUGAGACACGGCCCAGACUCCUACGGGAGGCAGCAGUGGGGAAUUUUGGACAAUGGGCGAAAGCCUGAUCCAGCCAUGCCGCGUGAGUGAAGAAGGCCUUCGGGUUGUAAAGCUC